GCCAAAUCAGUCUCCUACAGGACCUGAGAUCCAGGAAUAUUGGGAACAGUGGUGCUGAAAAAUCCUAGCAACUGUUAUCUGUAUUCCCAUAAAGACGGACCUAUAAUCCACCUGCUACUACAUUCUAGAGCCACUCUGAAGUAAAAGGAGAAAAUGUGUUGCUGUAACAAAACCGUAAAAAGCUGUGUGAGAUGGAAUCUGGAGUAUCUAAAGGUACUCUGGCAGCCAUGAACUCUGACUUCUGAGCUCCUCAGCG
RNAcentral lists this long non-coding RNA (256 nucleotides) under Homo sapiens (human). RNAcentral describes it as "HSALNT0373979". Lineage: Eukaryota; Metazoa; Chordata; Mammalia; Primates; Hominidae. The record is from RNAcentral.